GGGUCUUAACCGGCACCCAGCGAGGGGUCCCUGAGCUUAGGACACGCCUCCCGGAAGCGCGGAAGUGCGGCCCGAGGGGGCGGAGCGAGGACCCACCCUCCAACUGACAGCCGGGAACUUUCCCGCCCUGACGGCUCCGCAAAACUGGAAUCCUCGUCCCCACCGUGGAGUUCUUUCCCUUUUACGGCAUCUGCGGGUGCUACUCUUCAACUUGCUGUAAAGUGAAACUGCUUCCCGGGCGUGUAGGAGUUGGAGAAUGAAUGGAUUUGUCCUGUGUACCUAGUAGCCGACUGACUUCUGAAUGCGGUUUUCACAGGCAUUAUUCCAGUUGGAGAUAUAAAGCGGAGAACUAUCAUUCUCAUAACUGUUCUGAGAGUCACCAUGUCACAUCUUUCACUCCUCAAGCCUUCAGAAUUCCAGUGCUAAACAUUUAUCUGGCAUCUAAGGAAUAAAGCAUUCAGGAUAGAAAGGCUGUGAUACUACCCUGCUAGUGUCAAUCCAUAUGCACCAGGUCCUGCUGAGGGGUUAAAUAGGUUGAUACAGGGAUGGAAGAAAACAAUAAAGUGUCUGAGAGAAAUUCUGAGGAAAAAAUACUGUGCACCGCCUUUAGGGAAGGUCACCUGUAGCUCUGCAUGACUAAGAGCAGCCAUCAUAGACACUAUGGCACAAGCAGCCCAAAUACUCAGGGAGACUCCACAUUGAGUGAGGUGUAUUUUAAUGCUCCUUCAGGAGAAACAAAUAUGCGCGUACCUAUUUUGAUACCGAAUAACAAAUUUGUUCCAUGGAAAUGUCCUAUUACUCAUUGAAGCCAGGUAUUUUCCUCCUUCUUCAUUUUUUAAACUGGAAACUUAAUUUAGAAAGUUAACAUAAAUUCCCAGUUUUUAUUCUGUUUGCUGUGCUUCUGAAAGGCUUCAUGUAAUCUUCUUGUAGUUAAGUAUUUUGCUUUCCUCUUCCUCCCUUACUCAAAUAUAUUUUGUUAUAGCACCUAACAUAAUUUUAAAAACUCACUUGUGAGUUAAUUGAACUAAUUUCUGAAAUCUUAAUAUUGAAGUUAAAAUGUUUUACCUGUUAAGCAUUUAAAAAGCUGUGCACAAUUAAGCAAGUUAGACACAGCUAAUUGAGAAUAAGAGAUGAAAAAAAUGCAACCUCAUUAAUGUUGACCCUUACACAGUAAUUCUUUACAUUUGUACAAUGAGAAAAUUACUAUAGAAUGAUGAAAAAUAUGAGGUUUGAAUCACGUGAUAGCAUAUCUUGAAUCACACACUCAUCUGCCACUUCCUAGUAAUUCUGUUUCUUAUUGAUUUCAAUUUCAUCAUUAAACAAUAGAUCUGAUAAUCCCUAUCUUGUUUUUAAAAAGAGAAUUAUAUAAAGGAGUUGAAGUAGUUUAUCUAUAAAGAAAUACUAAUAAAAAUCUCCUGGUAGUGUACAUAAUGUACAUUAUGACUCCAUAAAUGUUAGUUUUGUAAUUGGGUUAUUCUAAUUAUUACUAUCUACAGUAUAUAGAGGGUGCUUCAGCUACUUUAAGAUGCUUUAAAAUAUUUUGUAGUUAGUUGCAAAUUAGGCUUAAUUUUCCACAAGCACAUCACUUAGUACACAUAUUUUGGGUUUUAUACUUCCUCUAUUGAACAAAUUUACAAGCAAAAAGACUCUUAUAUAAGCAUAAUUUAUCUUGUCAACAAUAUGUUGAAUUAAUCUUUAUCCUCUUGAAGCUCCUGUUUAAAGAAGAUAUAUAUAAACCAACAGUUUUUAAUACAGCAGUUGUAAACUUAAUAGCCAACCUUUCCGUGGCACCUACUAUGUGCCAGGAGCUGUGUUUAACACUUAUAGUAACUUAUUAAAUCAAAUCAGCUACCUUGUCAGAUAAUACAGAUAAAUAAGGAAAUCAAGGUAUAGGAAAUUAAGUAAUUUUCCAAGGUUACUGUUACAUAACAAAAAAUAUAUAUUCAGUCUUUGCCCCUGGUUCCUGGCACAGAGCUCCUAAAACUCUUGGGAUUUCCUGAAUGAUAGAUGUAAGAGGAGCAUAUAUUUUGCUAUUUAUAAUAAGCACCUUUCAGCUACCCCUGAAUUUAUGCUAGUGAAGUGACUCUUGGAGGAUGGGGGCUGGUUGCGGGGAUAACCACCAUGUGAUUAGAGGAUUAGAACUUUUAACACCAAUUCCAGGGAGGAAAGAAGGGCAGGAGAUUAAAUUAAUCACCAAUGAUCAAUGAUUUGAUCCAUCAUACCUAUUUAAUGGGGCAUUUAUAAAACUCCUACACUAUGGGGUUUGGAGAGAUUCUGGGUUGGUGAAUACAUUCACAUGUUGGGAGCACGGUGCACCUCAAACUCCAUGGGGACAGAAGCUCUGAUGCUCAGGACUCUUCCAGACCUCACCCUAUGUACCCCUUCAUCUGGUGCUCAUAUGUAUCCUUUAUAAUAGCCUUUACAAUAAGCUGGUAAUUGCAAGUAAAGUGUUUUCCUGAGUUCUUUGAGCAAUUAUAGCAAAUUAUUGAAGAAGGGUUUGUGAAAACUCUUGAUUUGUAGCCAAGUUGGACAGAAGUGUGGGUAACCUGGGAAUCUAUUAUAAUACAUAUGCUUGGCAUCUGAUGGUGGUGGGCAGUUUUGUGGGACUGAGCCCUUAGUGUGUGAGGUCUGUGCUAACUUCAGGCAGUUAGUGUGAGAAUUGAAUUAAAUUGUCAGAUAACCAGUUGGUCUCUGUGGAGAACUGGAGUCUUCAGUAGAAAACCCACACAUUUGGUGUCAGAAGUCUUGUGAGUACUAAAACUUCUUUUUUUGUGUAGUCACUCAGCUAUGCACUUAAAUGAACUGAAAUUAAAAAUUUAAUGUUUAUAAAAUUUUUUAAACAUAUUUAUGAUUUUACUUAUAAAGAAAUCUGUAAAGCCACAAAAAGUCAAGACACAAUUCAAUGAUUGAAAACCGGUUUGUUUACUUAAUGGCAACUUUUUCGUGGGUCCUUUACUUAUCCAACCUCAGCAGUGCCUCUCCUUUGCAGGCACUGGAUUAGGAUUGAGCACCCAAGUCCAACUCCAAGAAUAAGCGCAUUGGUAGCCUCAUUCUCCCUUUUCUCACAAGUGGUAAAGUUACCAUGGUCUGUCAGUACAGGUUAUUGCAACCAGAUAAAUAGACUUACGUCUUGACUGUGAGAAUAGUGUUCUGAAAAUCUCUAUACCUGUUAUAGUUAAAAGCAAAGCUCCUUGGAAAUAGUCUACAGUGCUUUUCCUCUAUUUUCCUUUUUCUGAAAAAGCUUUCUUUUCGUACUCAACCUAUGAUAAAUCUUGGAACUAGCGUCCUGAUGAAAGAUUUGAAGUAUAAAUAGUAUGUGGUAUUUUGUUUCUAAAAUUCUGUAAUUUUGGCCAGGUGUGGUGGCUCACGCUUGUAAUCCCAGCACUUUGGGAGGCUGAGAUGGGUGGAUCACCUGAGGUUGGGAGUUCGAGACCAGACUGACAACAUGGAGAAACCCCAUUUCUACUAAAAAUACAAAAAUUAGCCAGGUGUGGUGGCAGGUGCCUGUAAUCCCAGCUACUUGGGAGGCUGAGGCAUGAGAAUCACUUGAACCUGGGAGGCAGAGGUUGUAAUGAGCUAAGAUCACGCCGUUGCACUCCAGCCUGGGCAAUAAGAGUGAAACUCUGUCUCAAAAAAAAAAAAAUUCUAUAAUUUUUUUCCUUUACUAUCUCUUCUUCCACUUUUUAUGAUAGCUAUCAUAAGACACAAUUUUUUUUUAGGUAAUUUUAAAAUUAUACUUUAAGUUCAUAAGACAUAAU
Molecule: long non-coding RNA, 3758 nt
Filed under: Macaca mulatta (Rhesus monkey)
Lineage: Eukaryota; Metazoa; Chordata; Mammalia; Primates; Cercopithecidae
Description: lncRNA (ENSMMUG00000054586.1)
Source: RNAcentral